RNAcentral lists this unclassified non-coding RNA (589 nucleotides) under Penicillium madriti. Its description in RNAcentral is "sequence contains 18S rRNA gene, ITS1, 5.8S rRNA gene, ITS2, 28S rRNA gene". The stretch from base 219 to 372 matches the Rfam family "5.8S ribosomal RNA". Lineage: Eukaryota; Fungi; Ascomycota; Eurotiomycetes; Eurotiales; Aspergillaceae. The record is from RNAcentral.
UCGUAACAAGGUUUCCGUAGGUGAACCUGCGGAAGGAUCAUUACUGAGUGAGGGCCCUCUGGGUCCAACCUCCCACCCGUGUUUAUUGUACCUUGUUGCUUCGGCGGGCCCGCCUUUACGGCCGCCGGGGGGCUCACGCUCCCGGGCCCGCGCCCGCCGAAGACACCCUCGAACUCUGUCUGAAGAUUGUAGUCUGAGUGGAAUUAUAAAUUAUUUAAAACUUUCAACAACGGAUCUCUUGGUUCCGGCAUCGAUGAAGAACGCAGCGAAAUGCGAUACGUAAUGUGAAUUGCAGAAUUCAGUGAAUCAUCGAGUCUUUGAACGCACAUUGCGCCCCCUGGUAUUCCGGGGGGCAUGCCUGUCCGAGCGUCAUUGCUGCCCUCAAGCACGGCUUGUGUGUUGGGCCCCGUCCCCCAAUCCCGGGGGACGGGCCCGAAAGGCAGCGGCGGCACCGCGUCCGGUCCUCGAGCGUAUGGGGCUUUGUCACCCGCUCUGUAGGCCCGGCCGGCGCUUGCCGAUCAACCAAACUUUUAUCCAGGUUGACCUCGGAUCAGGUAGGGAUACCCGCUGAACUUAAGCAUAUCAAUAA